RNAcentral lists this ribosomal RNA (346 nucleotides) under uncultured Hydrogenophaga sp. RNAcentral's name for it is "bacterial SSU rRNA". It matches the Rfam family "Bacterial small subunit ribosomal RNA", at positions 1030 to 1382 of the family's 1533-position model. The record is from RNAcentral. Lineage: Bacteria; Pseudomonadati; Pseudomonadota; Betaproteobacteria; Burkholderiales; Comamonadaceae.
GCACACAGGUGCUGCAUGGCUGUCGUCAGCUCGUGUCGUGAGAUGUUGGGUUAAGUCCCGCAACGAGCGCAACCCUUGCCAUUAGUUGCUACGAAAGGGCACUCUAAUGGGACUGCCGGUGACAAACCGGAGGAAGGUGGGGAUGACGUCAAGUCCUCAUGGCCCUUAUAGGUGGGGCUACACACGUCAUACAAUGGCCGGUACAAAGGGCUGCAAACCCGCGAGGGGGAGCCAAUCCAUCAAAGCCGGUCGUAGUCCGGAUCGCAGUCUGCAACUCGACUGCGUGAAGUCGGAAUCGCUAGUAAUCGUGGAUCAGCAUGUCACGGUGAAUACGUUCCCGGGUCUU